RNAcentral lists this ribosomal RNA (460 nucleotides) under Arctornis sp. H391. RNAcentral's name for it is "partial large subunit ribosomal RNA". Lineage: Eukaryota; Metazoa; Arthropoda; Insecta; Lepidoptera; Erebidae. The record is from RNAcentral.
UGCCCACUGAUAAAUAAUUAAAGGGCUGCAGUAUUUUGACUGUACAAAGGUAGCAUAAUCAUUAGUCAUUUAAUUGAUGACUUGUAUGAAGGAUUGGAUGAAAUAUAAACUGUCUUUAAAGUAAAUUAUAGAAUUUAAUUUUUUAAUUAAAAAGUUAAAAUGAUUUAAAAAGACGAGAAGACCCUAUAGAGUUUUAUUUAAUUUUAAAUUAAGAUUUUAUAUAAAUUUAAUAAUUUAAAUUUAAUUUUGAAUUUUGUUGGGGUGAUAGAAAAAUUAAAUAAACUUUUUUUUUUAUUAAACAUGAAUAAGUGAGUAAAUGAUCCAAUUUUAUUGAUUAUAAGAAAAAAUUACCUUAGGGAUAACAGCGUAAUUUUUUUUUUUAGUUCAUAUAAGAAAAAGAGUUUGCGACCUCGAUGUUGGAUUAAGAUAAAAUUUAAAUGCAGAAGUUUAAAAUUUUUGA